UCCCUGGUGGCCUAGUGGUUGAGGGUCCAGCAUUAUCACUGCUGUGGCUUGGGCCAGUGCUAUGGUGCAAGUUCGAACCCUGGCCUGGGAA
This 91-nucleotide transfer RNA is filed under the name Sus scrofa (pig). It matches the Rfam family "tRNA". From Rfam's summary of the family: Transfer RNA (tRNA) molecules are approximately 80 nucleotides in length. Their secondary structure includes four short double-helical elements and three loops (D, anti-codon, and T loops). The record is from Rfam by way of RNAcentral. Lineage: Eukaryota; Metazoa; Chordata; Mammalia; Artiodactyla; Suidae.